AGCUCCAAUAGCGUAUACUAAAGUUGUUGCAGUUAAAAAGCUCGUAGUUGGAUUUCUGCGUCGGGACACGCAAUGCGUGGCCAUAACGGCCUAGCAUCAGUGGGUUCUUACGCAUCCUGCUCUUACCCGCGCUGGCCUUCGUUGGUUGGCGAUGGCGAGGGGCUCGUUUACUUUGAGAAAAAUAGAGUGUUCAAAGCAGGCUUUGCGCCUUGAAUAACUUAGCAUGGAAUAAUGACAAAGGACCUCGGUUCUUUUUGUUGGUGUUCGGCACUGAGGUAAUGAUUGAUAGGGACAGUUGGGGGCGUCAGUAUUCCAAGGUCAGAGGUGAAAUUCAUAGAUUCUUGGAAGACUAACAGAUGCGAAAGCGUUCGCCAUGGAUGUACUCU
Molecule: ribosomal RNA, 386 nt
Filed under: uncultured eukaryote
Lineage: Eukaryota
Description: SSU rRNA
Rfam family: Eukaryotic small subunit ribosomal RNA
Source: RNAcentral